Molecule: ribosomal RNA, 253 nt
Filed under: uncultured bacterium
Lineage: Bacteria
Description: partial 16S ribosomal RNA
Rfam family: Bacterial small subunit ribosomal RNA
Source: RNAcentral
UACGGAGGAUGCAAGCGUUAUCCGGAAUGAUUGGGCGUAAAGCGUCCGCAGGCGGCUGUGUAAGUCUGCUGUCAAAGAGCGAAGCUCAACUUCGUAAAGGCAGUGGAAACUACACGGCUAGAGUGCGUUCGGGGCAGAGGGAAUUCCUGGUGUAGCGGUGAAAUGCGUAGAGAUUGGGAAGAACACCGGUGGCGAAAGCGCUCUGCUGGGCCGCAACUGACACUAAUGGACGAAAGCUAGGGGAGCGAAUGGG